This 76-nucleotide transfer RNA is filed under the name Promicromonospora vindobonensis. RNAcentral describes it as "tRNA-Arg". It matches the Rfam family "tRNA". From Rfam's summary of the family: Transfer RNA (tRNA) molecules are approximately 80 nucleotides in length. Their secondary structure includes four short double-helical elements and three loops (D, anti-codon, and T loops). The record is from RNAcentral. Lineage: Bacteria; Bacillati; Actinomycetota; Actinomycetes; Micrococcales; Promicromonosporaceae. RNAcentral also lists the same sequence under 6 other names.
GCGCCUGUAGCUCAGUGGAUAGAGCAUCUGCCUCCGGAGCAGAAGGUCGGGGGUUCGAAUCCCUUCAGGCGCACCA